This 208-nucleotide ribosomal RNA is filed under the name uncultured bacterium. Its description in RNAcentral is "partial 16S ribosomal RNA". It matches the Rfam family "Bacterial small subunit ribosomal RNA", at positions 568 to 774 of the family's 1533-position model. The record is from RNAcentral.
CACGUAGGCGGAUAUUUAAGUCAGGGGUGAAAUCCCAGAGCUCAACUCUGGAACUGCCUUUGAUACUGGGUAUCUUGAGUAUGGAAGAGGUAAGUGGAAUUCCGAGUGUAGAGGUGAAAUUCGUAGAUAUUCGGAGGAAUACCGAUGGCGAAGGCAGCCUUCUGGCAUAAUACUGACACUGAGGCUCGAAAGCGGUGGGUAGCAAACA